GGCACGUACGGUGAAUAGGGACGGUCGGGGCCGCCCGUACCGGGUCGUGAGAGGUGAAAUUCUAGGAUCGACCCGAGACGAACCGCCGCGAAAGCAUUCGGCAAGGACGCUUCAUUAAUACAAGAACGAAAGUCGGGGGGAUCGAAGACGAUCAGAUACCGUCGUAGUCCCGACCGUAAACGAUGCCGACCGAGGGCCCGGAGGAGUUACGUACGACCCUCCGGGCCCUCCCGCGAGAAAUCAGGAGUAUUCGGGUUCCGGGGGGAGUAUGGUCGCAAGGCCGAAACUUAAAGGAAUUGACGGAAGGGCACCACCAGGAGUGGAAUCUGCGGCUUAAUUUGACCCCAACGCGGGGAAAACUCACCAGGUCAGGACACGGUAAGGAUUGACGGACUGAAGGC
RNAcentral lists this ribosomal RNA (401 nucleotides) under uncultured eukaryote. RNAcentral describes it as "SSU rRNA". It matches the Rfam family "Eukaryotic small subunit ribosomal RNA", at positions 858 to 1255 of the family's 1831-position model. The record is from RNAcentral.